This is a non-coding RNA of Acanthosepion pharaonis, 114 nucleotides long. NCBI's taxonomy places the organism in Eukaryota, Metazoa, Mollusca, Cephalopoda, Sepiida, Sepiidae. The record is from the annotation of a GenBank genome assembly.
AUGCGGCUAUAUCAUGUUGAAACACCAGUUCCCGUAUGAUCACCAAAGUUAUGCAAUGUCAAGCUGGGUCAGUACCUUGAUGGGUGACCACUUAGGAAUACCAGUUGCUGUAAG